AGUGAACGCUGGCGGCAGGCCUAACACAUGCAAGUCGAACGGAUGAAGGGAGCUUGCUCCUGGAUUCAGCGGCGGACGGGUGAGUAAUGCCUAGGAAUCUGCCUGGUAGUGGGGUAUAACGUCCGGAAACGGGCGCUAAUACCCCAUACGUCCUGAGGGAGAAAGUGGGGGAGCUUCGGACCUCACGCUAUCAGAUGAGCCUAGGUCGGAUUAGCUAGUUGGUGGGGUAAAGGCCUACCAAGGCGACGAUCCGUAACUGGUCUGAGAGGAUGAUCAGUCACACUGGAACUGAGACACGGUCCAGACUCCUACGGGAGGCAGCAGUGGGGAAUAUUGGACAAUGGGCGAAAGCCUGAUCCAGCCAUGCCGCGUGUGUGAAGAAGGUCUUCGGAUUGUAAAGCCCUUUAAGUUGGGAGGAAGAGCAGUAAGUUAAUACCUUGCUGUUUUGACGGUACCAACAGAAUAAGCACCGGCUAACUUCGUG
Molecule: ribosomal RNA, 484 nt
Filed under: uncultured bacterium
Lineage: Bacteria
Description: partial 16S ribosomal RNA
Rfam family: Bacterial small subunit ribosomal RNA
Source: RNAcentral